UGCGGUCUGCGCUUCCCGACAGGGUUCACAAUCCCCGGGGCCUUAAUCGAUCUCAGGGGAGCUGUCCCUGCUUGAGCCCGUGGGUUCUUGCAUAUGGCGCCCACCUACAGUGUAGGUUCCCGGGAUCGUAUAUAAUCCAUCGGUUGUCGCGGAUCGCAU
Molecule: non-coding RNA, 159 nt
Filed under: Pararhizobium mangrovi
Lineage: Bacteria; Pseudomonadati; Pseudomonadota; Alphaproteobacteria; Hyphomicrobiales; Rhizobiaceae
Description: 6S / SsrS RNA
Rfam family: 6S / SsrS RNA
About the family: E. coli 6S RNA was the first non coding RNA to be sequenced, but its function was unknown until recently. It consists of 184 nucleotides that fold into an extended hairpin structure with a large single-stranded internal bulge. The 6S RNA specifically associates with RNA polymerase holoenzyme containing the sigma70 specificity factor.
Source: Rfam by way of RNAcentral